UACGUAGGUGGCAAGCGUUACUCGGAAUCACUAGGCGUAAAGCGCAGGUAGGAGGUUUAGUAAGUCUGUUGUGAAAGCUCCCGGCUUAACUGGGAGAGGUCAACGGAAACUGCUAGGCUAGAGUGCGGUAGAGGUAGCUGGAAUUCCCGGUGUAGCGGUGAAAUGCGUAGAUAUCGGGAGGAAUACCUAUGGCGAAAGCAGGCUACUGGACCGUCACUGACUCUGAUCUGCGAAAGCUAGGGGAGCAAACAG
Molecule: ribosomal RNA, 252 nt
Filed under: uncultured bacterium
Lineage: Bacteria
Description: partial 16S ribosomal RNA
Rfam family: Bacterial small subunit ribosomal RNA
Source: RNAcentral